RNAcentral lists this ribosomal RNA (267 nucleotides) under uncultured bacterium. RNAcentral's name for it is "partial 16S ribosomal RNA". It matches the Rfam family "Bacterial small subunit ribosomal RNA", at positions 1068 to 1334 of the family's 1533-position model. The record is from RNAcentral.
UGAGAUGUUGGGUUAAGUCCCGUAACGAGCGCAACCCUUGUCCUUAGUUACCAGCACGUAAUGGUGGGCACUCUAAGGAGACUGCCGGUGACAAACCGGAGGAAGGUGGGGAUGACGUCAAGUCAUCAUGGCCCUUACGGCCUGGGCUACACACGUGCUACAAUGGUCGGUACAGAGGGUUGCCAAGCCGCGAGGUGGAGCUAAUCCCAGAAAACCGAUCGUAGUCCGGAUCGCAGUCUGCAACUCGACUGCGUGAAGUCGGAAUCG